GACGAACGCUGGCGGCGUGCUUAACACAUGCAAGUCGAACGGAAAGGCCCUGCUUUUGUGGGGUGCUCGAGUGGCGAACGGGUGAGUAACACGUGAGUAACCUGCCCUUGACUUUGGGAUAACUUCAGGAAACUGGGGCUAAUACCGGAUAGGAGCUCCUGCUGCAUGGUGGGGGUUGGAAAGUUUCGGCGGUUGGGGAUGGACUCGCGGCUUAUCAGCUUGUUGGUGGGGUAGUGGCUUACCAAGGCUUUGACGGGUAGCCGGCCUGAGAGGGUGACCGGCCACAUUGGGUCUGAGAUACGGCCCAGACUCCUACGGGAGGCAGCAGUGGGGAAUAUUGCACAAUGGGCGGAAGCCUGAUGCAGCAACGCCGCGUGCGGGAUGACGGCCUUCGGGUUGUAAACCGCUUUCGCAUGUGACGAAGCGUGAGUGACGGUAAUGGGUAAAGAAGCACCGGCUAACUACGUG
Molecule: ribosomal RNA, 468 nt
Filed under: uncultured bacterium
Lineage: Bacteria
Description: partial 16S ribosomal RNA
Rfam family: Bacterial small subunit ribosomal RNA
Source: RNAcentral